UUUCUGCAAGGUUGUACACAACCUGACUGAAUGGGAACCCAAAGUCUGCUGCCUGGGACUUUGUUGAGAUCACAGGAGAAUGAAGGAAGUAAAAUAUCAAAAUAGAUCUUGGCUACAUAAUGCUGGCUACCAAAGGAAAUAAAUACAGAGAGCUGAAAUCAGAAGUGAUAAGAGCUCUGACUCUCCUGAUGAAGAGCAAAAGCUGAAUGCUACACAGCAACAUAAAGGGGAUGCCAGUUAUAAUUAAGGUAAAUUUAAAGCACUCUUCCAUGUAUGUUAAUGCUUUAUGUACAGCUAUGCAUGCAGCUAAAGGUAGAAAACAGGCUGGCAAAUAGAAAGAGAUUAAGUUCAUAGCAAAGGCUGUGUGUCCCCAAAAGGAAAGUAUUUAAAGAUUGGGAAUUGCUUCUUUCUUUUACCCAUGUUUCCCUCCCAACUCUAUCAGCCAACUUUCCACUAAGUCUUGCUCUGCUUUUAGUUAUCAACUUGUUUCUUUUUAAAUUCUAUUCGUGGGAAAAGACAGUAAGUAGACAAUAGUGGAAAACAGAAUUAGAUAAAUAUCUCGCAGUCUUUCCUGAGAAGCCUUUCCUAGAGAGCAACAACAGUCUAGAUAAGCUUUAACUUUUCCUUUUGCUUGCUUUAAGGACAGUUGUGAGAUGAAUGCUUCCAGUGUAUGCUUCGCUGUUUAUGUAUAAAUGUAAACUUCCUCCCCUGAGAAUCACCCCACAAAGAAACAAAUAGUGAUGAAAAAAGGUUUGGGGGAUGUAUUUGUAAAUGAUAAAAAUUGUGUACAUCCAUAGUAACAUCUUUUGGAUAAAGAUUUUUAAGGCAGCCUUUUUACUUUCAUAUGUUGGAAAAGUAAAACACAGCAAUUGCUUUUUUUCAUAACCAGUAACUACAUAGCUAGGUAUGCUGGGACAGGGAGGGACAAACAAACCUAAAGAUGACAGAUCUGUACAGAAUGCUGUUUGUUAGUAUGCCAGAUCUUAUUACAGAGCAGUGGGAGGCCUUGUACACUACGUACCAGCUCUAUGGGGACCUCCAUAUUUAAAACAAGAAGAAAAAAAUGUGAUUUGAAAAACCCCUCAUGGGCAGCCUUCAAAGGCACAGACGGGCUCUGACUGGAUUAACAUUUAUUGACUGUUUAAGCCUGCUUUUUUGCUUCAGGACAGAGAUACACAAGUUUAAUUGCAGAGGCUGUUCUGCUAACUGAUCACCAGAGUGGCAACCAAAGCUUUACUAAUCGGUCCUUCAUUAAAGAAAAGUCUCUAUUACAAAACAAAUUAAGCAUGCUCUGAUCCUAACCUACAGGUCCAAUGGCAUUACAACAAAGUUUAAGCUGUUAGAGCACUGGAAAACUUAUUAAGGUUUAGCGCUGAGAUAGCACUUUUGUAUUGAUUUUACAAUACACAGGUAUUAUGAUUUAUGGAGUGCUAGUGUCACUCUAACAAGCUGAAGGACACACAAUAUCAUCUCCAACAUCAUUAAAAUUCAGAAGCCUCCAGAACUAACUCAUCAACCACUGUACAUUGUCACAGACUAUAGAGCUGUAUUCCAGUUGGAAAAUGUCCUUUGCCUUCUGGACAGUUGUCUUCCUGAAUCGUUGAAUUAAAAAAAAAAAAAAAAAAGAAAAGAAAAAAAAAGAAAAAAAAGAA
Molecule: long non-coding RNA, 1652 nt
Organism: Pezoporus occidentalis (night parrot)
Lineage: Eukaryota; Metazoa; Chordata; Aves; Psittaciformes; Psittacidae
Exons: 2
Source: RefSeq, a predicted model, not a curated record